UAUAUAUUGAGAGAGAGAGAGGCUAGAACAUUCUAUGCUUCCUCCCCACGAAAUCCAGAAUUCAUUUUCAAAUAAAAGUUCAGAAAAAUGGAGGGCUUUGGAUCAAAAUUCCUUCAUCCAACGGUCCCCAUUUUACUAACCUUUUAUCUAAUAGAUCCGAAUUUUCUCCAAGAGGAAUGAAAAACAAGUAGAAAUCUGGAUGAAAUCACUUUGUUGCCAGAGUUUGUUAGGGUUUGGUGACGUAGAAGUUGGUGACGUAGAAGAAGGAGAAGAGAGAAGGGGGGCCAUGGGGGGACCAAUGGGUGAACUCUCCGGGUUUGGGACGAGUUCCGGCGAGUUUUGAAGGUGGAGACGCGACAGGGGCGGAGAGGGGCUGGGCGGUUGGUUUGAUUUUAGGGUUAGAGGUUUGGGAUGUUGGGGUGUAUUUGGAGUGUGGAGGAAAUAAUGUGGCCCAUUGGAUUAUUUGGGAUGGAAGGCUAAGAUUUAAAGGGGAAAUGGG
RNAcentral lists this long non-coding RNA (499 nucleotides) under Nicotiana benthamiana. RNAcentral's name for it is "long non-coding RNA (NBEN_LNC011044)". Lineage: Eukaryota; Viridiplantae; Streptophyta; Magnoliopsida; Solanales; Solanaceae. The record is from RNAcentral.